UACGUAGGGGGCAAGCGUUGUCCGGAUUUAUUGGGCGUAAAGAGCGUGUAGGCGGCCAGGUAGGUCCGUUGUGAAAACUCGAGGCUCAACCUCGAGACGUCGGCGGAAACCCUCUGGCUAGAGUCCGGAAGAGGAGAGUGGAAUUCCUGGUGUAGCGGUGAAAUGCGUAGAUAUCAGGAGGAACACCGGUGGUGUAGACGGCUUUCUGGACCGUAACUGACGCUGAGACACGAAAGCGUGGGUAGCAAACAGG
RNAcentral lists this ribosomal RNA (253 nucleotides) under uncultured bacterium. RNAcentral's name for it is "partial 16S ribosomal RNA". It matches the Rfam family "Bacterial small subunit ribosomal RNA", at positions 524 to 776 of the family's 1533-position model. The record is from RNAcentral.